Molecule: long non-coding RNA, 1102 nt
Organism: Dermacentor albipictus
Lineage: Eukaryota; Metazoa; Arthropoda; Arachnida; Ixodida; Ixodidae
Source: RefSeq, a predicted model, not a curated record
UGAUAACCCAGUCUCCUUCCUGGUCACGGUGCGGCAGGUUCCUGGGGCACGACGCUGAAGUCCCUCAUCAAUUUUUCGACUAUCCAGGCGCAUUCCUGUUGGCGUCAUCAAUGGACAGAACACUUCGACUUGGAAUGCGUCUCCUCGCAUAGUGCUGACACAAUCCGCCCCUGCAUCGCUGUGAACAUUUGUUUUUGUGCCGUGGUAUCACCAGAAAAGCUGGUCUUCGGUGAUCCAGCAACAUCGAUGGUUGCAUCGUCCUGCCAGGCACAUCGAAAGAGCUUCCCUGCACGCCCUUUACCUUCCCUGGGUACGAGAACAGCGCUUUCGACAUGGCCCGUUCUUCUGGCUCCCGUUUCGAUGCAGGUACAUUCCUAUUGGCGUUGUCGAUGGACAGAACUCUUCGACUUGGAAUGCGUCUCCGCGCAUGGUGCUGACACAGUCCGCGCCUGCGUCGUAGUCAACAUGCGUGUUCCUGCCGUGGUGUCACCAGCAAAGCUCUUCUUCGGUGAUCCAGAGACAUCGACGGUUGCAUCAUCCAGCCUUGCAAAUUGAAAGAGCUCCUUCACGCGCUCUUCACAUUCCAUGGGUACGAGAACAGGACUUUCGACAUGGCCCGCUUUCCUGGCCUCUGCUGCCAUGAAGACCAAAUCCUGUUGGCGUUAUCAACGGACACAGCUCUUCGACUUGGAAUGCGUCUCCGCUCAUAGUGCUGACACAGUCCGCGCCUGUGUCGCUGUCAACAUGCGUGUUCCUGCCGUGGUGUCACCAGCAAAGCUCGUCUUCGGAACAUUGGGCACGAGAACAGCACUUCCGACAUGGUCCCUUGUCCUGGCUUCCGUUUCCAUGCACGUGUGCAUGGCGCUGGGUCCUCCUGCUGUGUUCGUGCCCUUCCCGGCUCUCCUAUAGCCCGUCCAGGUGCAGGAGUGCUGUGGAGUUCGGUUCUCGAGCCGUCUACCGUGCCACCAGAAACAGGAUUCCUGCCGGAUAGGACAGCGGCGUUGCUCCAGAGCCUGCUGUAGACUUCAGGACGGAACCAGGGUCCACGGCACUCGCGCAGAUGCACCUCAGCUGUCCCUUUCCCUGCCACUAUGACAGCGUA